UGACAGCUAACAUGGCAUUGCAUGGGUGUACUAAUACAUUGUCUGGACUGUUUUGGCGAAGACAUCCGGUCUGCCUCUGGGCACGUACUGAAGGGCAGCUGGCACAGUCAUCUCUGUGGUGUUUGGCAGAUGUUGGGCGUGGGAGAUUUGAGCUGCUUGCGAGCAGCUGCUCGCAUAGCACUGGAACGGUGUGCUUGAGGAGGUCUGUCGAAUCUUGAAAGCUUACAGAUAUGGGGUUUUGAAACUUUUAUUUUUAUUUCUAUGCUGUCCCCAGUAGAGUGUAAACCUUUGGAGGAACCUGUCACAGGAAAGAGCUCCUUCUGGAACUGUUCAGCACUCGGGGUGUUGUAGCUGGCCUAAGAGAGCAGAUGGAAGCAUCUUCCUCGAGGGCAGGUGAGGGGCCGAGGUGUCUCGCACAGGCUGAGUGGGCCAAGCUGCACUCUGAAGAGCAGCACGAGAAGGGCGGGCUGGUUGUGAGCUGGAUUGGAGCAGAACUGCCAAGUAGCACGAGGUGAGUGCGAAGGGU
This is a non-coding RNA of Anas platyrhynchos (mallard), 526 nucleotides long. Lineage: Eukaryota; Metazoa; Chordata; Aves; Anseriformes; Anatidae. The record is from RefSeq and is a predicted model, not a curated record.